Molecule: ribosomal RNA, 460 nt
Filed under: uncultured bacterium
Lineage: Bacteria
Description: partial 16S ribosomal RNA
Rfam family: Bacterial small subunit ribosomal RNA
Source: RNAcentral
CCUACGGGAGGCAGCAGUGAGGAAUCUUGGUCAAUGGGCGCGAGCCUGAACCAGCCACGUAGCGUGAAGGAUGACUGCCCUCCGGGUUGUACACUUCUUUUAUAAAGGAAUACAGUGAGGCACGUGUGCCUUUUUGUAUGUACUUUAUGUAUAAGGCUCUGCUAACCCCGUGCCCGCAGCCGCGGUAAUACGGAGGAUCCGAGAGUUAUCCGGAUUUAUUGGGUUUAAAGGGAGCGGAGAUGGGUUGUUAAGUCAGUUGUGAAAGUUUGCGGCUCAACCGGAAAAGUGCAAUUGAUAAUGGCAGUAUUGAGUACAGUUGAGGUAGGCGGAAUUCGAGGUGUAGCGGUGAAAUGCGUAGAUAUGACGAAGAACUCCGAUUGCGAAGGCAGCUUACUAAACUGCCACUGACAUUGAUGCGCGAAAGUGUGGGUAUCAAACAGGAUUAGAUACCCCUGUAGUC